CUUGCUUCCAGCUCUUUGGGAAACUAAGAAACAACUCGCUCUGCGCAGUGCUCUUACAGCCUACCGGGAACAUCUCUCACAAAGGCCUGUGAAACGCAGUUUAUUCCCAGCCCUGAUCUCUCUGAAGUAGAACUUGUGUGCUGCCAUGUCCUACAUUGCCCUAGAGGUUCAAGGAACAAUGUCCUGCCUUGAUUUCUCAAGGGGAGACAGGCCACAAAGCGUCUUUCUUCCAGCUAUUGGGAAGCUAAGAAACAACUCGCUCUCCUCAGUGCUCUUACAACUGACGGCGAACAUCUCUGACAAAGGCCUGUGAAACGCAGUCUCUUCCCAGCCCUGAUCUCUCUCAAGUAAAACUUCUGCUCUGCUGUGUUCUACAUAGCCCUAGAGGUGCAAGGAACAGUGUCCUGCCUUGUUUCCUCAAGUGGAGACAGGAAAUAACGUGUCUUGCGUCCAGCUCUUUCUGAAGCCAGGAAACAACUUGCUCUCCACAGUGCUCUUACAGCAUACUGGGAACAUCUCCUACAAAGGCCUGUGAAACGCACUUUCUUCCCAGACCUCAUCUCGCUCAAGUAGGACUUCUGCUAAGCCGUGCAAAACAUUGCCCCAGAGGUGGAAGUCCCAAACACUGCCUGGCAUCCUCAAGAGGAGACAGGCCACAGACCAUCUUGCUUCCAGCUCUUUCGCAAUGUGACAAAGAACUCGUUUUCACCUGGGCUGUUACAGCCUACUGUGAACCUCUAAUCCAAAGACCUGGAAUGCAGUUUGUUUCCAGUCCAGAUCUCGCCAGCUUGGAAAUUCAUCUCUAAGUCGUGUUCUACAUUGCUCUAGAGGUGGAAGUGACAAACCCCUGAGUCAUUGCCUCCAAAGGAGACAAGCCACAAACGGUCUUGCUUCCAGCUCUUUGGGAAGCUAAGAAACAACUUGCUCUCCACAGUGAUCUUACAGCCCAACGGGAACAUCUAUACAAAGGCCUGUGAACCGCAGUUACUUCCAUCCCUGAUCUCGCUGAAGUAGAAAUUCUGCUCUGCCGUGUCCUACAUUGCCCUAGAACUGAAAGGCACAACGUGCAGGCUUCUUUCCAAAGGGCGAGUUGGGCCCCACAGCAUCUUGCUUCCAGCUCUUUGGGAAGCUAAGAAACAACUCGCUCUGCACAGUGCUCUUACAGCCUACCGGGAACAUCUCUUCCAAAGGCCUGUGAAACGCAGUUUCUUUGCAGGCCUGAUCUGGCUGAAGUAGGACUUCUGCUCUGGGUGUGCUACAUUGCCCUAGAGCUGAAAGGCACAACGUGCAGGCUUUCUUUUUCAAAGGGCGAGUUGGGCGCCACAGCAUCUUGCUUCCAGCUCUUUGGGAAGCUAAGAGACAACUCGCUCUGCACAGUGCUCUUACA
Molecule: long non-coding RNA, 1387 nt
Filed under: Equus caballus (horse)
Lineage: Eukaryota; Metazoa; Chordata; Mammalia; Perissodactyla; Equidae
Description: lncRNA (ENSECAG00000059421.1)
Source: RNAcentral